Molecule: transfer RNA, 70 nt
Filed under: Acinetobacter sp. VT 511
Lineage: Bacteria; Pseudomonadati; Pseudomonadota; Gammaproteobacteria; Moraxellales; Moraxellaceae
Description: tRNA-Asn
Rfam family: tRNA (bases 5-61)
About the family: Transfer RNA (tRNA) molecules are approximately 80 nucleotides in length. Their secondary structure includes four short double-helical elements and three loops (D, anti-codon, and T loops). Further hydrogen bonds mediate the characteristic L-shaped molecular structure. tRNAs have two regions of fundamental functional importance: the anti-codon, which is responsible for specific mRNA codon recognition, and the 3' end, to which the tRNAs corresponding amino acid is attached (by aminoacyl-tRNA synthetases). tRNAs cope with the degeneracy of the genetic code in two manners: having more than one tRNA (with a specific anti-codon) for a particular amino acid; and 'wobble' base-pairing, i.e. permitting non-standard base-pairing at the 3rd anti-codon position.
Source: RNAcentral
CCACAGCGCACUCGGUAGAGCGACGGACUGUUAAUCCGCAGGUCCCUGGUUCGAGCCCAGGUAUUUACCC